AAACAUUUCUGAGGGGAAAAUGUUUUUGGUAUAACCUGCUCAAUGCUUUUGUAAAUAGCUGCAGUAUUUUGACUGUACAAAGGUAGCAUAAUCAUUAGUCUUUUGAUUGGAGGCUUGUAUGAAUGGUUGAACAGAAUAUUAGCUUUUUUAUUUACACGAAAUUUAAAUUUAUAGUUUAUGUAAAAAUGCAUAAUUGCUUAAAAGGGACGAUAAGACCCUAUAGAAUUUGAAAAUAUUGUUGAGAAAGUAUUUUUUUGUUGGGGUGAUAGUAAACAAACUUUUACGUAUUUUUCAUCGAUGGGUGGUUAAAUGAUCCUUUUUUAUAGAUAACAAGAUAAAAUUACCUUAGGGAUAACAGCAUAAUUUUUUUUAAAAGAUCAUAUUAAUAAAAAAGAUUAUGACCUCGAUGUUGAAUUAAAAUAAAAUUUUGGUGUAGGAGCUAAAUUU
RNAcentral lists this ribosomal RNA (447 nucleotides) under Cacopsylla baccatae. RNAcentral's name for it is "partial 16S ribosomal RNA". It matches the Rfam family "Bacterial large subunit ribosomal RNA", at positions 1823 to 2572 of the family's 2925-position model. Lineage: Eukaryota; Metazoa; Arthropoda; Insecta; Hemiptera; Psyllidae. The record is from RNAcentral.